AUCGCUUCUCAGCCUUUUGGCUAAGAUCAAGUGUAGUAUAUUGCAUACCUGAAACUAAUAUAACACUGUAUGUUAACUAUA
Molecule: small nuclear RNA, 81 nt
Filed under: Suricata suricatta (meerkat)
Lineage: Eukaryota; Metazoa; Chordata; Mammalia; Carnivora; Herpestidae
Description: U2 spliceosomal RNA (ENSSSUG00005014581.1)
Rfam family: U2 spliceosomal RNA
About the family: U2 is a small nuclear RNA (snRNA) component of the spliceosome (involved in pre-mRNA splicing).
Source: Rfam by way of RNAcentral